Hyalella azteca is the source of this 262-nucleotide long non-coding RNA. RefSeq lists it as uncharacterized. The record is from RefSeq and is a predicted model, not a curated record. The transcript has 3 exons. Lineage: Eukaryota; Metazoa; Arthropoda; Malacostraca; Amphipoda; Hyalellidae.
GCUGGCUGAACACAACCGACGGCUACAUAUGGGCAUUCACCGGACCACUGAUAGUGAUGCUGGUGGUGAACUUCACGGCGCUGACGCUCGCCCUGCACUCAGCCGCCUCGCUGGUCAUCAACAGACGCCGCUCCGUCCCGGAGCGCGUCAGGGUUUGGAUUAAAGGAAGCAUUUCUCUGUCCGCGAUCCUGGGAGUUACGUGGGUGUGUGGACUCGUGUACAUGACAAGCAGCCAUGUUAUGGCUUACUUCUUCACCGUCCU